This 546-nucleotide ribosomal RNA is filed under the name Salmonella enterica subsp. enterica serovar Enteritidis. RNAcentral's name for it is "partial 23S ribosomal RNA". It matches the Rfam family "Bacterial large subunit ribosomal RNA", at positions 13 to 599 of the family's 2925-position model. Lineage: Bacteria; Pseudomonadati; Pseudomonadota; Gammaproteobacteria; Enterobacterales; Enterobacteriaceae. The record is from RNAcentral.
AAGCGUACACGGUGGAUGCCCUGGCAGUCAGAGGCGAUGAAGGGCGUGCUAAUCUGCGAUAAGCGCCGGUAAGGUGAUAUGAACCGUUAUAACCGGCGAUACCCGAAUGGGGAAACCCAGUGUGACUCGUCACACUAUCAUUAACUGAAUCCAUAGGUUAAUGAGGCGAACCGGGGGAACUGAAACAUCUAAGUACCCCGAGGAAAAGAAAUCAACCGAGAUUCCCCCAGUAGCGGCGAGCGAACGGGGAGGAGCCCAGAGCCUGAAUCAGCAUGUGUGUUAGUGGAAGCGUCUGGAAAGGCGCGCGAUACAGGGUGACAGCCCCGUACACAAAAGCGCAUGUGCUGUGAGCUCGAUGAGUAGGGCGGGACACGUGGUAUCCUGUCUGAAUAUGGGGGGACCAUCCUCCAAGGCUAAAUACUCCUGACUGACCGAUAGUGAACCAGUACCGUGAGGGAAAGGCGAAAAGAACCCCGGCGAGGGGAGUGAAAAAGAACCUGAAACCGUGUACGUACAAGCAGUGGGAGCACCCUUUGGGUGUGACUG